This 1161-nucleotide small RNA is filed under the name Rattus norvegicus (Norway rat). RNAcentral describes it as "uncharacterized LOC108352352". Lineage: Eukaryota; Metazoa; Chordata; Mammalia; Rodentia; Muridae. The record is from RNAcentral.
AGACUACACAGAGAGACCCUGUCUCAAACAAAUAAACUCAUCAUGUGCAUUUUCCAUUUGAUAUACUUUUGAAUUUUUUUUUAAAAAUGAAAGCAGAAUCUUGCAAAGUCAGGGAUCGGAUGAACUCUUUCAGUGUCUGCAAUCCCAGGAGACAAGUCGUUGCAUUUCAAUGGAUGGGUUCCUGGGGAUAGCUCGCCGGAUCUCAGGCUUCCUCAGCAAGCACUCUAAGGACAGCUGUACCUCCAGCCCCGUGUCAAGACAUCACAGCUGUCACAGUGAAGAUGGCUCUGCUCAGAUCAGUGACCUGUGUAGGGCUUAGAGUCUGAAGCAGAGACACAGAAUUCUGUAUCACCUCCAGCUUUCUGUCCAAUGGCAUGGAGUAUUCAGGUGGAGGAGCAGGGUUGCCUGAAUAUGACGAUCUCCCACCCAGGAGCAGAAAACUCUGACUACCCUGCUGGCUGCUGGCUGCUGCCUCCUGGGGAUGCUCCCAGCCACUACGCUGGGGACUUAUCCAGGUAACUCUGCUGCCGCUGCCCAGCAGGAGGCUUUGGACCUGUUUGACUGUUCAGUACUCUGCUCAUCCCAUCUUCUGUCUCCAGCCAGCCAUCCUUGUUUAACUUUCUGGAAGAUGAAUGUCUCCUAGGUUGUCUUUGGAAUCCCAUUUCUUUGACUUAAAGAGGCUGACAGGGUGAGAGAAACAAAGGCUGUUUAGGAUUUGAUCUCCCCUGAUUGUUUCUCUCUCGGUAAAGAGGUAAAUAAAAGGGAGGGGGAAGAAAAGAAAGAAAAAGGAGCCUGGGCUCAGCUCACCAGCUGUGGGUCCCUGAUGGGCCUGCCUGACGCAGUCACAUUGUGCAGGGGCUGGAGCACCUGUGAGGAGUUAAUGAGAAAAAUCCAGAAGUGUGGCUCCCACAAGGGCUCCCUUUAGAGUCCCACAGGGAUGACCCCACCCCUCCCCUGGCAAGUUUCAAUGACAGGUGGGAUUAAUCUCAGCAGGCUGUCCUUUGGAGACACUCCAUCAUCUCCUUUCUAGCUGGAAAGAGGGGUUCACCAUGUCAAGUUCUAGUGGUUUUCCUUGGGAUUUUAGGGUUUGAAGCUGUUUCUCAAGGUAAAGCUAAAAACCACAAAUAAAACGUUAAGGCUCCCAGGGGUGUCCUCCAGUAA